RNAcentral lists this ribosomal RNA (433 nucleotides) under uncultured bacterium. RNAcentral's name for it is "partial 16S ribosomal RNA". It matches the Rfam family "Bacterial small subunit ribosomal RNA", at positions 29 to 507 of the family's 1533-position model. The record is from RNAcentral.
AACGAACGCUGGCGGCAUGCCUAACACAUGCAAGUCGAACGAGACCUUCGGGUCUAGUGGCGCACGGGUGCGUAACGCGUGGGAACCUGCCCUUAGGUUCGGAAUAACUCCCCGAAAGGGGUGCUAAUACCGGAUAAUGUCUUCGGACCAAAGAUUUAUCGCCUUUGGAUGGGCCCGCGUUGGAUUAGCUAGUUGGUAGGGUAAAAGCCUACCAAGGCGAGGAUCCAUAGCUGGUCUGAGAGGAUGAUCAGCCACACUGGGACUGAGACACGGCCCAGACUCCUACGGGAGGCAGCAGUGGGGAAUAUUGGACAAUGGGGGGAAGCCUGAUCCAGCCAUGCCGGGUGAGUGAUGAAGGCCUUAGGGUUGUAAAGCUCUUUUAACCGGGAUGAUAAUGACAGUACCGGGAGAAUAAGCUCCGGCUAACUACGUG